CGGCUGCUGCCGGGGGGCGCGGCGGGCGCAGCGCAGCGGCGGGCGGCGGCGCGAGCGGCUCCCUCCAGUGCCCGCGCGGGCGGCGGCGGCGGCGGCGUCGAGCGGUGCAGACAAAGGAGGGGCGGAGGGAGGAGACGGAGGGUGUGGGAGCGGCGGCUUCACCGGGCGGGCGGGCGGCGGCGGCGGCGGCCGCGCUCCUCUCGCUCCUCAGCAGCGGGGACCGAGAGAGGGAGCUGUGUCUGAGGAGACGCCAAAAUCCCCCUUAGCGCUGCCCGCGGGAGGGGGAGGGGCACAAGAUGGCGGCGGCCGGGGGGCGGGAGUUCAGCUCAUGGAUCCCGGCGGGCGGCGGAGGGGAGACCGGGCCGGCGGAGGCGGCGGCGGCAACGGGCGGGGGAGGGGGCCGAUCCCGCGUCUCCCCUCGGCAGACAAUACAAGCGCCUCGGAGCGAGUCCCCGAACCUGCCCUAGCCAAAAUGGCGGCCGAGAAAGAGCGGAAGUGACCGCCGGAGAUGAGGCACGGCCCCACGGAGGCGACCCUUCCCGGAGGCUGGGUCACGCGGCGGACAGGGGCUGCCGCGCCGGGCCGGACAGUCUUCCAAGUCAGCGAUGGGCUCUUCUCUUGGGCCUGAAGAGAAUGGGAUCUCUAGCGUUUGAGGCCACCGGACUGGUGAAACCUGAGGAGGAGAUGUGCUGCGGCCAAUGGGCCUCCACGCUUGGGCUGCAGUCCCAGGACAGUCGCCUGCAAUGCUCCCGCGGUCGGGACAGCAGAAGACAGCACGUGGGCAGUCCGCCUUUGUAAAUUUAGGUCAACCCCAACGACACAAUAUCUCCUCCACAUUCUGAACCCACCUCUCUAGCACAGCGCAUCUGCGAGUCUCUCAUCGGCUACGCAAACUGCAAAGUAAUAAAUGCCAACUGUGAAGGAUCAAGCAA
Equus caballus (horse) is the source of this 932-nucleotide non-coding RNA. The record is from RefSeq and is a predicted model, not a curated record. NCBI's taxonomy places the organism in Eukaryota, Metazoa, Chordata, Mammalia, Perissodactyla, Equidae.